GCCGGGUGUGGUGGUGUGCACCUGUAAUCCCAGCUACUCGGGAGGCUGAGGCAGGAGAAUUGCUUGAAUCCGGGAGGUGGAGGUUGCAGUGAGCUGAGAUCAUGCCACUGCAUUCCAACCUGGGCGACAGAGCAAGACUCCGUCUCAA
Molecule: non-coding RNA, 148 nt
Filed under: Nomascus leucogenys (northern white-cheeked gibbon)
Lineage: Eukaryota; Metazoa; Chordata; Mammalia; Primates; Hylobatidae
Source: Rfam by way of RNAcentral